GAUGAACGCUGGCGGCGUGCCUAACACAUGCAAGUCGAGCGAAGCACUUUGCUUUGAUUCUUUCGGGAGGAAAAGUAAUUUGACUGAGCGGCGGACGGGUGAGUAACGCGUGGGUAACCUGCCUCAUACAGGGGGAUAACAGUUAGAAAUGACUGCUAAUACCGCAUAAGACCACAGUACUGCAUGGUACAGUGGUAAAAACUCCGGUGGUAUGAGAUGGACCCGCGUCUGAUUAGCUAGUUGGUGGGGUAACGGCCCACCAAGGCGACGAUCAGUAGCCGGCCUGAGAGGGUGAACGGCCACAUUGGGACUGAGACACGGCCCAA
Molecule: ribosomal RNA, 326 nt
Filed under: uncultured bacterium
Lineage: Bacteria
Description: bacterial SSU rRNA
Rfam family: Bacterial small subunit ribosomal RNA
Source: RNAcentral